RNAcentral lists this long non-coding RNA (1012 nucleotides) under Moschus moschiferus (Siberian musk deer). Its description in RNAcentral is "lncRNA (ENSMMSG00000020265.1)". The record is from RNAcentral. Lineage: Eukaryota; Metazoa; Chordata; Mammalia; Artiodactyla; Moschidae.
UCAGGCAAAAAGCAAGCAUUUAAGGUCUUCAGCUCCAAUCUUUCGUUCAUUUCUUAUUGCUGUAAUUUCAUAUUCAUUUUCUUGUUGGAUGACUAAACCGGAUGAUGGUAGAGAUGGUAAGCCGGCAUUUACUCAGCCCCACCCUGCUCAGCCUCGGGAGCAGACGAAUUCUCAGCUGGUGAAUUGGCUGCUUUUGUCUCUUUGCCAUCUUGUGGUUUAGGGUUUUCUGGGCGUCUGCGUCGGUAAUUGAAGUUAUGGCGGUACCGACGUUGAGGUGGCUGCUGACCUUGGGUCUCAUCUCCUUGAUUUUCCUUAUCUUCUUUAUUGCCGUCCUCUCUGGGCUGUCUUUGGCGAGGAGGGCCCCUACGGAAUCGUGGUCUAUAACCCCGAUACAUAUGCUGUCUCACUGGUCUACCUUGUUCUCCUGCACCCUGGUAGGCAGCACCCUCCAUCACCUCUCCCUGCACAGGAGGGUUGGAGUACUGUGGUCGACGCCCAUAGGGUCUCCGCAUGUAGUAAGGCGGGACCCUCCGCCUGCGGUAGGGCCGGCGCUGUUGGGCCUGGCCUUCGGGAGCGCUCUCCGAUCCCUCAUUCUUUUCCCCACUCUCACUGUCCUGGUAAUUCUGCUGGUAAUUGCGUGGAGGACCCCUGCGACGUGGAUAGCGUCUAUAAUGUUUACGGUUUGCUGCAUGUUUACUGCCUUGCACUGGAACUCCACCAGGGCCUGUAACAUUUGCUGCCUCUGCACCCUUUUCUCCUUAAACAACAUCAAACUCCACAGUCUCUCCAUCUCCUACACUGCGAAGGUACUUCCUGGGGUUAUUCUUUAUGGCAGUCUGGUGUACAAAUACAUCUUCCUUGGUAUCAUUCCUGUUGAUGAAACCAUAUCCGUUUCUUCCAUUGAACCAUUUUACUGUUCCCAAAACUUUCGUUGCAAUGACUUUUUGUCCCUGCUGGCAGGCGCCGCCUAUGUGAGGCCACCCGGGCCGCCACUCCCUGCGCCGCUGCCCGU